GAAUUGCUAGUAAUGGCAGGUCAGCAUACUGCCGUGAAUACGUUCCCGGGCCUUGUACACACCGCCCGUCACACCAUGAGAGUUGGGAAUACCCGAAGCCUGUGAGCCAACAAACGAGGCAGCAGUCGAAGGUAGAAUCAAUGAUUGGGGUGAAGUCGUAACAAGGUAAC
Molecule: ribosomal RNA, 170 nt
Filed under: uncultured bacterium
Lineage: Bacteria
Description: partial 16S ribosomal RNA
Rfam family: Bacterial small subunit ribosomal RNA
Source: RNAcentral